ACGUAAAUAUAUUAGUGUUAAAAGUCUGUAUAAAGCUCAAUAAACUCUAUGGACAAUUGACCAAAUUAUCGGAAGGGGGAGAUGCAAACUUGCUAUCCUUGUAAGGUUGCAGCUUGUGAUGGCAUAAAGAUGGACCUGAAGGUGGCACUGGUCCUCUUGGCAGUUGGGCACCAUAUAAAGUUUGGAAAUCCUUGUCAACAUCCUUCACUGAUCUUAUGCUUUCUCCUGUUGGUACAUUUGUUGCAGAUACUAUUAGAAGAAUCA
RNAcentral lists this long non-coding RNA (264 nucleotides) under Coffea arabica (coffee). Its description in RNAcentral is "long non-coding RNA (CARA_LNC007569)". Lineage: Eukaryota; Viridiplantae; Streptophyta; Magnoliopsida; Gentianales; Rubiaceae. The record is from RNAcentral.